UACGUAGGGCGCAAGCGUUGUCCGGAAUUAUUGGGCGUAAAGAGCUCGUAGGCGGUUUGUCGCGUCUGCUGUGAAAACCUAAGGCUCAACCUUGGGCUUGCAGUGGGUACGGGCAGACUAGAGUGCGGUAGGGGUGACUGGAAUUCCUGGUGUAGCGGUGGAAUGCGCAGAUAUCAGGAGGAACACCGAUGGCGAAGGCAGG
RNAcentral lists this ribosomal RNA (202 nucleotides) under uncultured bacterium. RNAcentral describes it as "partial 16S ribosomal RNA". It matches the Rfam family "Bacterial small subunit ribosomal RNA", at positions 524 to 725 of the family's 1533-position model. The record is from RNAcentral.